GAGAUUCCCCCAGUAGCGGCGAGCGAACGGGGAGCAGCCCAGAGCCUGAAUCAGUGUGUGUGUUAGUGGAAGCGUCUGGAAAGGCGCGCGAUACAGGGUGACAGCCCCGUACACAAAAAUGCACAUGCUGUGAGCUCGAUGAGUAGGGCGGGACACGUGGUAUCCUGUCUGAAUAUGGGGGGACCAUCCUCCAAGGCUAAAUACUCCUGACUGACCGAUAGUGAACCAGUACCGUGAGGGAAAGGCGAAAAGAACCCCGGCGAGGGGAGUGAAAAAGAACCUGAAACCGUGUACGUACAAGCAGUGGGAGCACGCUUAGGCGUGUGACUGCGUACCUUUUGUAUAAUGGGUCAGCGACUUAUAUUCUGUAGCAAGGUUAACCGAAUAGGGGAGCCGAAGGGAAACCGAGUCUUAACUGGGCGUUAAGUUGCAGGGUAUAGACCCGAAACCCGGUGAUCUAGCCAUGGGCAGGUUGAAGGUUGGGUAACACUAACUGGAGGACCGAACCGACUAAUGUUGAAAAAUUAGCGGAUGACUUGUGGCUGGGGGUGAAAGGCCAAUCAAACCGGGAGAUAGCUGGUUCUCCCCGAAAGCUAUUUAGGUAGCGCCUCGUGAAUUCAUCUCCGGGGGUAGAGCACUGUUUCGGCAAGGGGGUCAUCCCGACUUACCAACCCGAUGCAAACUGCGAAUACCGGAGAAUGUUAUCACGGGAGACACACGGCGGGUGCUAACGUCCGUCGUGAAGAGGGAAACAACCCAGACCGCCAGCUAAGGUCCCAAAGUCAUGGUUAAGUGGGAAACGAUGUGGGAAGGCCCAGACAGCCAGGAUGUUGGCUUAGAAGCAGCCAUCAUUUAAAGAAAGCGUAAUAGCUCACUGGUCGAGUCGGCCUGCGCGGAAGAUGUAACGGGGCUAAACCAUGCACCGAAGCUGCGGCAGCGACGCUGAUGCGUUGUUGGGUAGGGGAGCGUUCUGUAAGCCUGCGAAGGUGUGCUGUGAGGCAUGCUGGAGGUAUCAGAAGUGCGAAUGCUGACAUAAGUAACGAUAAAGCGGGUGAAAAGCCCGCUCGCCGGAAGACCAAGGGUUCCUGUCCAACGUUAAUCGGGGCAGGGUGAGUCGACCCCUAAGGCGAGGCCGAAAGGCGUAGUCGAUGGGAAACAGGUUAAUAUUCCUGUACUUGGUGUUACUGCGAAGGGGGGACGGAGAAGGCUAU
This 1211-nucleotide ribosomal RNA is filed under the name Escherichia coli. Its description in RNAcentral is "partial 23S ribosomal RNA". It matches the Rfam family "Bacterial large subunit ribosomal RNA", at positions 231 to 1485 of the family's 2925-position model. The record is from RNAcentral. Lineage: Bacteria; Pseudomonadati; Pseudomonadota; Gammaproteobacteria; Enterobacterales; Enterobacteriaceae.